RNAcentral lists this unclassified non-coding RNA (254 nucleotides) under uncultured fungus. Its description in RNAcentral is "partial contains small subunit ribosomal RNA, internal transcribed spacer 1, and 5.8S ribosomal RNA". The stretch from base 1 to 73 matches the Rfam family "Eukaryotic small subunit ribosomal RNA", at positions 1759 to 1831 of the family's 1831-position model. The record is from RNAcentral. Lineage: Eukaryota; Fungi.
GCAAACUUGGUCAUUUAGAGGAAGUAAAAGUCGUAACAAGGUUUCCGUAGGUGAACCUGCGGAAGGAUCAUUAACAAAUCCUGUGACGAGCGCGUGCCUGCAUGCGUCUCGGAACAUUUGCCCCGGGUGUGCGCUGCACGCCGUGCUGCUGCCCCCGGACAUUUGCGUGCAUAUCUGACCGAUUGGUAAUGCAAGAGAGAAUACAAACUUUUAACAAUGGAUCUCUAGGCUCCUGCAUCGAUGAAGAACGCAGC